GCCGGGGUGUUGGAAUUGGCAGACAGCACAGACUUAAAAUCUGUUGUUCCGUAAGGGACGUGCGGGUUCGAGUCCCGCCCCCGGCA
RNAcentral lists this transfer RNA (86 nucleotides) under Candidatus Omnitrophota bacterium. RNAcentral's name for it is "tRNA-Leu". It matches the Rfam family "tRNA". From Rfam's summary of the family: Transfer RNA (tRNA) molecules are approximately 80 nucleotides in length. Their secondary structure includes four short double-helical elements and three loops (D, anti-codon, and T loops). Further hydrogen bonds mediate the characteristic L-shaped molecular structure. tRNAs have two regions of fundamental functional importance: the anti-codon, which is responsible for specific mRNA codon recognition, and the 3' end, to which the tRNAs corresponding amino acid is attached (by aminoacyl-tRNA synthetases). tRNAs cope with the degeneracy of the genetic code in two manners: having more than one tRNA (with a specific anti-codon) for a particular amino acid; and 'wobble' base-pairing, i.e. permitting non-standard base-pairing at the 3rd anti-codon position. Lineage: Bacteria; Pseudomonadati; Candidatus Omnitrophota. The record is from RNAcentral. RNAcentral also lists the same sequence under 1 other name.